This 446-nucleotide ribosomal RNA is filed under the name Clostridioides difficile. RNAcentral describes it as "bacterial LSU rRNA". It matches the Rfam family "Bacterial large subunit ribosomal RNA", at positions 2279 to 2724 of the family's 2925-position model. The record is from RNAcentral. Lineage: Bacteria; Bacillati; Bacillota; Clostridia; Peptostreptococcales; Peptostreptococcaceae.
GCGGUCGCCUCCCAAAAGGUAACGGAGGCGCUCAAAGGUUCUCUCAGUACGGUCGGAAAUCGUACGAAGAGAGUAAAGGCAAAAGAGCCCUUUAUUGCAAGACAUACAGGUCGAGCAAGGAUGAGAAGCGGACCUAGUGAUCCGGUUGUUCUGCGUGGAAGGGCCAUCGCUCAACGGAUAAAAGCUACCCUGGGGAUAACAGGCUUAUCUCCCCAAAGAGUACACAUCGACGGGGAGGUUUGGCACCUCGAUGUCGGCUCAUCACUGCCUGGGGCUGUAGUAGGUCCCAAGGGUUGGGCUGUUCGCCCAUUAAAGUGGUACGCGAGCUGGGUUCAGAACGUCGUGAGACAGUUCGGUCCCUAUCCGUCGCAGGCGUAGGAAAUUUGAGAAGACCUGUCCUUAGUACGAGAGGACCGGGAUGGACGUACCUCUGGUGUACCAGUUGU